AACGCCGCGUGAGUGAAGAAGGUUUUCGGAUCGUAAAGCUCUGUUGUAAGUCAAGAACGAGUGUGAGAGUGGAAAGUUCACACUGUGACGGUAGCUUACCAGAAAGGGACGGCUAACUACGUGCCAGCAGCCGCGGUAAUACGUAGGUCCCGAGCGUUGUCCGGAUUUAUUGGGCGUAAAGCGAGCGCAGGCGGUUUGAUAAGUCUGAAGUUAAAGGCUGUGGCUCAACCAUAGUUCGCUUUGGAAACUGUCAAACUUGAGUGCAGAAGGGGAGAGUGGAAUUCCAUGUGUAGCGGUGAAAUGCGUAGAUAUAUGGAGGAACACCGGUGGCGAAAGCGGCUCUCUGGUCUGUAACUGACGCUGAGGCUCGAAAGCGUGGGGAGCGAACAGGAUUAGAUACCCUGGUAGUCCACGCCGUAAACGAUGAGUGCUAGGUGUUGGAUCCUUUCCGGGAUUCAGUGCCGCAGCUAACGCGUUAAGCACUCCGCCUGGGGAGUACGACCGCAAGGUCGAAACUCAAAGGAAUUGACGGGGGCCCGCACAAGCGGUGGAGCAUGUGGUUUAAUUCGAAGCAACGCGAAGAACCUUACCAGGUCUUGACAUCCCGAUGCUAUUUCUAGAGAUAGAAAGUUACUUCGGUACAUCGGUGACAGGUGGUGCAUGGUUGUCGUCAGCUCGUGUC
This 682-nucleotide ribosomal RNA is filed under the name Streptococcus salivarius. Its description in RNAcentral is "bacterial SSU rRNA". It matches the Rfam family "Bacterial small subunit ribosomal RNA", at positions 393 to 1066 of the family's 1533-position model. Lineage: Bacteria; Bacillati; Bacillota; Bacilli; Lactobacillales; Streptococcaceae. The record is from RNAcentral.